GGUCCCUGGGGAGGAGAAGGUGCUGGGCACGGGUCUUGGAAGAGGGGGCACUGGGAAUUUGUCCUGGGGUGAAACCGGAGAUGUCACUGGGGAUCAGUUCUGGAGGAGGGCAAAGAGGUGCUGUCAGCAAGAAGCUCAUUUGCACAAUUAUAAGCCAGAAGGAUAAAGCCUCUGUGCACGUGGGGGGAAGGAAGCGCCCCACGGGCUCCAGUCGAGACAAGCACAGCGAAGAGGAGGGGGAGCUUUCAGCCUCUGUG
This is a non-coding RNA of Tinamus guttatus (white-throated tinamou), 257 nucleotides long. The record is from RefSeq and is a predicted model, not a curated record. Lineage: Eukaryota; Metazoa; Chordata; Aves; Tinamiformes; Tinamidae.